UAAUCUUGUUCUCUCCCAAAG
This is a non-coding RNA of Caenorhabditis elegans, 21 nucleotides long. Lineage: Eukaryota; Metazoa; Nematoda; Chromadorea; Rhabditida; Rhabditidae. The record is from Ensembl.